UUUAUACGAGAGUUUGAUCCUGGCUCAGGAUGAACGCUGGCGGCGUGCUUAACACAUGCAAGUC
This 64-nucleotide ribosomal RNA is filed under the name Dorea sp. OM02-2LB. Its description in RNAcentral is "partial 16S ribosomal RNA". It matches the Rfam family "Bacterial small subunit ribosomal RNA", at positions 1 to 63 of the family's 1533-position model. Lineage: Bacteria; Bacillati; Bacillota; Clostridia; Lachnospirales; Lachnospiraceae. The record is from RNAcentral.